GAAGUCUGACGGAGCAACGCCGCGUGAGUGAUGAAGGUUUUCGGAUCGUACAGCUCUGUUGUUAGGGAAGAACAAGUACCGUUCGAAUAGGGCGGUACCUUGACGGUACCUAACCAGAAAGCCACGGCUAACUACGUGCCAGCAGCCGCGGUAAUACGUAGGUGGCAAGCGUUGUCCGGAAUUAUUGGGCGUAAAGGGCUCGCAGGCGGUUUCUUAAGUCUGAUGUGAAAGCCCCCGGCUCAACCGGGGAGGGUCAUUGGAAACUGGGGAACUUGAGUGCAGAAGAGGAGAGUGGAAUUCCACGUGUAGCGGUGAAAUGCGUAGAGAUGUGGAGGAACACCAGUGGCGAAGGCGACUCUCUGGUCUGUAACUGACGCUGAGGAGCGAAAGCGUGGGGAGCGAACAGGAUUAGAUACCCUGGUAGUCCACGCCGUAAACGAUGAGUGCUAAGUGUUAGGGGGUUUCCGCCCCUUAGUGCUGCAGCUAACGCAUUAAGCACUCCGCCUGGGGAGUACGGUCGCAAGACUGAAACUCAAAGGAAUUGACGGGGGCCCGCACAAGCGGUGGAGCAUGUGGUUUAAUUCGAAGCAACGCGAAGAACCUUACCAGGUCUUGACAUCCUCUGACAAUCCUAGAGAUAGGACGUCCCCUUCGGAGGCAGAGUGACAGGUGAUGCAU
RNAcentral lists this ribosomal RNA (678 nucleotides) under Bacillus subtilis. RNAcentral's name for it is "bacterial SSU rRNA". It matches the Rfam family "Bacterial small subunit ribosomal RNA", at positions 378 to 1046 of the family's 1533-position model. Lineage: Bacteria; Bacillati; Bacillota; Bacilli; Caryophanales; Bacillaceae. The record is from RNAcentral.